AGUACCUCCUGUGCAGUACUUAUCCUGGAGAUUAAAGCUCAGCUGGACACUCCGGAAGACAAAAGUGGGGCUGUCAGACACAGCAGAUGUUCGGCAUUAAAAAUGUUUUUCAAUGGCACUUGUUAAAGUCCAGGACCAUCACUGUCUAUCCAGGAACCAGAGUAGUGGGUUUGUAGUGAGAGAGACAGACAAGGCUCACCUGGAACACAUGGGCAGGUGGGGUCAGAGGGUGGAAAGUUACCAAGAGGAGGUGUCAGGGGACCGGGGAGCGCCCACCCGGGUGGUGGAGGAUGAGGAGCCUGGUGGGAUGUGGGGACUAGAUGUGGAGAGUGGGGUUCCCACUGCACUGAGCAGGGACCUCACUGACAACCGGGUUUCACCAGCAUGAGUCCAGGUGGGGCUGGAGAGGAUUCAGGAACCUGGAAAGAUUAGCCAAGUGGGGCCAGGUGUGACUUGGUUGCCUCGCAUGCUAGUGGCCCUGGGUUUGAUGUCCAGGCACAGCAAAGAAAAAAGACCAAGUGGAGGGUCUUGAUGAAUAACCAGCCUGCUUCCAGAUGCCCUGCCCCCUUGAAGGCUCCAGGUGCAGGGUCCUCUGUGGGCCUUUCUGUGCUGCCUGGUGUCCAGCCCAGCCUGAGGCAGCAGCCUCCUGCCAGCCCCAGGCCAGUGUCCCAGGAGCUUUCCACACGUAGACCCUCGGAGCUCUGGCAGUAAGACAGAUUGGCUGUUGUUCUGGAGGCUGUCUUUACCUCUGGUGUAUGCCCUGGGGUCCCUGCCAGCUCACAGCCCACUUUGGUUCACACCCUAACCCUCCUCCCAACUUCAGGGCUCUCAAAUUCCCAUAUUCUCAAAGGGAUGCUCCUGCCUUGCCACAUGAGGCCCAGCCAGGUUUCUGAUGACCAGGUGCCUCCAUCUGUUCUCUGCUUGGGAGUCUAACUCCCCCAUGCCAGCUACCAGCUCUAUCAGCAGCCCUUGAGCUGCUUUGAACCCCCAUCACCCCCUUCUCGGCUGCUUCCUUUAGAACAUGUAUCCCAGUACUAAUGCUGUGGUUCUCUGUAACUGCUAAGCCAGCUUCUGCUCAGAUCCACAUCCAUUGUCUCUUGACCACCCUGAGUGGGCCUGGGAGCUCUGUGUGUCUGCUAUCCAGCUGGGCAGUACUAUCAGCCCGUGUGUUGCCCCAGGCCACAGUAGGGAACAGUCAGGAGCUGACUUGGAAGGCCCACAGGUUCUGGGCCCCAGGAGCCCUGUGACCCCAUCAGGAAGUGUGUCCUCCAGCCACUGCUUCCUGCUACCCAGCAGCUGCCUCCCGGGUGCUGUGGUGGGCGAGGAGCAGCUGUGCCUGGGUCUUCGCCCAGGCUAGAGCUGAGUCUGAACUGUGGCUGUUCUUGGCUUCUUGGCCCUGCUCCAACCUGGGAGGAUGCAGAAGGCCACAUCCUGAGUCCAUGAGGGAAGCCUCACCCACUGCUGCCCACUUCCCCUGGUAGCCCAAAUGCUAGGCUCGUCCAGGUCACUGGCCUCAAGUCUGCAAGACCAAACUCUUCCCAGCACCCCAUGUACAUUCCUGACCUUGCUGUGGGGAGGCCACCAGGGAGGACAGCAGCUUGUUGGAAAGGGCUGAGUCCCUGCACAGCCGUCCCACGCCGGAGGGCAGGAAAGCCUUCUGUGGCCUCGCAGGCCACAGAAGGGCCACUGGUGCUCCUUCCUUGGAGGGCACCCACGUGUUGACGGGUGAGGUGGGCAGCGGCCUUGCCCUGCGGUCCCUUACCUCGGCCUGGCCAGGCUUCCUUGACUCUGCCGAGGUCCUCAGGUUCCUGCAAGAUCCUAAGCGCGCUUCCUCUACACUUUCUGAAUGGGGAGGGAGACACAUUUGAGGGAAAUUAAGCCAGAGAUUGCCAAAGACUCUGAAGUCAUAUGAUCCCCAUAAAAGGGGAUCUGGGGGCUGGAUAUCAUCCCGAUGGUACAGGGCCGGAGCCUUCCAAGAAACUGAGGCAGCAUGAAGACCCUCUCUUAACCCCAAUUCUUGCGACCAGGCC
This 2030-nucleotide long non-coding RNA is filed under the name Marmota monax (woodchuck). The record is from RNAcentral. Lineage: Eukaryota; Metazoa; Chordata; Mammalia; Rodentia; Sciuridae.